This 433-nucleotide ribosomal RNA is filed under the name uncultured bacterium. RNAcentral describes it as "partial 16S ribosomal RNA". It matches the Rfam family "Bacterial small subunit ribosomal RNA", at positions 29 to 507 of the family's 1533-position model. The record is from RNAcentral.
AACGAACGCUGGCGGCAGGCCUAACACAUGCAAGUCGAGCGAGGACUUCGGUCCUAGCGGCGGACGGGUGAGUAACGCGUGGGAACGUGCCCUUUGCUUCGGAAUAGCCCUGGGAAACUGGGAGUAAUACCGGAUGAGCCCUUUGGGGGAAAGAUUUAUCGGCGAAGGAUCGGCCCGCGUUGGAUUAGGUAGUUGGUUGGGUAAUGGCCUACCAAGCCGACGAUCCAUAGCUGGUUUGAGAGGAUGAUCAGCCACACUGGGACUGAGACACGGCCCAGACUCCUACGGGAGGCAGCAGUGGGGAAUCUUAGACAAUGGGGGAAACCCUGAUCUAGCCAUGCCGCGUGAGCGAUGAAGGCCUUAGGGUUGUAAAGCUCUUUCAGCUGGGAAGAUAAUGACGGUACCAGCAGAAGAAGCCCCGGCUAACUCCGUG